ACUACCCGCUGAACUUAAGCAUAUCAAUAAGCGGAGGAAAAGAAACCAACAGGGAUUGCCUCAGUAACGGCGAGUGAAGCGGCAAAAGCUCAAAUUUGAAAUCCCCCGGGAAUUGUAAUUUGAAGAGAUUUGGGUCCGGCCGGCAGGGGUUAAGUCCACUGGAAAGUGGCGCCACAGAGGGUGACAGCCCCGUGAACCCCUUCAACGCCCUCAUCCCAGAUCUCCAAGAGUCGAGUUGUUUGGGAAUGCAGCUCUAAGUGGGUGGUAAAUUCCAUCUAAAGCUAAAUACCGGCGAGAGACCGAUAGCGAACAAGUACAGUGAUGGAAAGAUGAAAAGCACUUUGAAAAGAGAGUGAAAAAGUACGUGAAAUUGUUGAAAGGGAAGGGCUUGCAAGCAGACACUUAACUGGGCCAGCAUCGGGGCGGCGGGAAACAAAACCACCGGGGAAUGUACCUUUCGAGGAUUAUAACCCCGGUCUCAAUUUCCUUGUUGCCCCGAGGCCUGCAAUCUAAGGAU
This 517-nucleotide ribosomal RNA is filed under the name uncultured Metschnikowiaceae. RNAcentral describes it as "eukaryotic LSU rRNA". It matches the Rfam family "Eukaryotic large subunit ribosomal RNA", at positions 20 to 517 of the family's 3401-position model. Lineage: Eukaryota; Fungi; Ascomycota; Saccharomycetes. The record is from RNAcentral.